This 442-nucleotide ribosomal RNA is filed under the name uncultured Oxobacter sp. RNAcentral describes it as "bacterial SSU rRNA". It matches the Rfam family "Bacterial small subunit ribosomal RNA", at positions 355 to 794 of the family's 1533-position model. Lineage: Bacteria; Bacillati; Bacillota; Clostridia; Eubacteriales; Clostridiaceae. The record is from RNAcentral.
UGAGGAAUAUUGGUCAAUGGACGAAAGUCUGAACCAGCCAUGCCGCGUGAAGGAAUAAGGCCCUAUGGGUCGUAAACUUCUUUUGUAUGUGAGCAAUAAGGUCCACGUGUGGUCCGAUGAGAGUAGCAUACGAAUAAGCAUCGGCUAACUACGUGCCAGCAGCCGCGGUAAUACGUAGGGGGCGAGCGUUGUCCGGAAUUACUGGGCGUAAAGGGUGCGUAGGCGGUUUGGUAAGUUGGAUGUGAAAUACCCGGGCUUAACUUGGGGGCUGCAUCCAAUACUGCUGAACUUGAGUGCAGGAGAGGAAAGCGGAAUUCCUAGUGUUGCGGUGAAAUGCGUAGAUAUUAGGAGGAACACCGGUGGCGAAGGCGGCUUUCUGGACUGUAACUGACGCUGAGGCACGAAAGCGUGGGGAGCAAACAGGAUUAGAUACCCUGGUAGU